This 424-nucleotide ribosomal RNA is filed under the name uncultured Glomeromycotina. Its description in RNAcentral is "SSU rRNA". It matches the Rfam family "Eukaryotic small subunit ribosomal RNA", at positions 670 to 1092 of the family's 1831-position model. The record is from RNAcentral. Lineage: Eukaryota; Fungi; Glomeromycota.
CUGGUAUGUACUGGUCUCACUGAUUCCUCCCUCCUGAUGAACCUUAAUGCCAUUUAUUUGGUGUUUUGGGGAAUUUGGACUGUUACUUUGAAAAAAUUAGAGUGUUUAAAGCAAGCUAACGCUUGAAUACAUUAGCAUGGAAUAAUGAAAUAGGACGUUCGAUCCUAUUUUGUUGGUUUCUAGGAUUGACGUAAUGAUUAAUAGGGAUAGUUGGGGGCAUUAGUAUUCAAUUGUCAGAGGUGAAAUUCUUGGAUUUAUUGAAGACUAACUACUGCGAAAGCAUUUGCCAAGGAUGUUUUCAUUAAUCAAGAACGAAAGUUAGGGGAUCGAAGACGAUCAGAUACCGUCGUAGUCUUAACCAUAAACUAUGCCGACUAGGGAUCGGAUGAUGUUAAUUUUUUAAUGACUCAUUCGGCGCCUUACG